AACCUGAAACUGUUGCUUCGGCGGGCCGCUGGCUCUUGCCGCGCCCGCCGAAGGUUUAUAUUAGGCUCUUUAGCUGGGGUGCUAUUCCCUAUACUGUCCUCUGAAUCGCUUCCAAACUAGUCAAAACUUUCAACAACGGAUCUCUUGGUUCAGGCAUCGAUGAAGAACGCAGCGAAAUGCGAUAAGUAAUGUGAAUUGCAGAAUUUAGUGAAUCAUCGAAUCUUUGAACGCAUAUUGCGCCCGCCAGCACUCUGGCGGGCAUGCCUGUUCGAGCGUCAUUUCAAUCCUCAGGCCUCGUGUCUGGCGUUGGGGCGCCGCGGCCCUCCCGCAGGCCCCCAAAUCUAGCGGCGGAUCCGCCGCGGCCCUGAGCGCAGUAGUUACCUAACUUUAACGCUCCGGCGGCCGUGGCGCGGUUCUGCCUCCCGCCCUAUAGCGCCAAUAGCGCUACUCCCAAAAAGUUGACCUCGGAUCAGGUAGGACUACCCGCUGAACUUAAGCAUAUCAAUAAGCGGAGGA
RNAcentral lists this ribosomal RNA (516 nucleotides) under uncultured fungus. RNAcentral's name for it is "partial 18S ribosomal RNA". The stretch from base 125 to 278 matches the Rfam family "5.8S ribosomal RNA". The record is from RNAcentral. Lineage: Eukaryota; Fungi.